This is a long non-coding RNA of Carassius auratus (goldfish), 1140 nucleotides long. RefSeq lists it as uncharacterized. The transcript is spliced from 3 exons. NCBI's taxonomy places the organism in Eukaryota, Metazoa, Chordata, Actinopteri, Cypriniformes, Cyprinidae. The record is from RefSeq and is a predicted model, not a curated record.
UGAAUCACAGUCACAAUAGUGAAAACUACAAAACAUCUAAAUGCACUUUGAUAUCAAAUUCAUGUGAACUUUGGAAUAAAUGUUCUUAACUGCCACAAUUGGGGGAAAAAAAGUCAUAAUUGUUCUAAAAUAAAAAUAUAAAUAAAUAAGAUUUUGGGGAGAAAUACUGUAUGACAGCACAACUCAAAUCCCAACCACCCAAUCUGUUACCUGUUGAGAGUCUGACCUGAAUGUGUGCAUAUGUGCGCACACACACACAAACACACACACACACACACACACACACACACACACACACACACUGAAUGAUUUGUUUAUUAUGUUUUAUGGCAGGAAAUAUCAUGAGACCCAGGCAGAGGAAUGUCAUGAAGCUAAAGCAAAUACAAGCAGUAAAGGUGUGUAAGUGACUGACGCACGAGCUCCCAGCAGCCCUUGCACCAUGUUUACCAAUUCAGAGGUGGGACAGAUGACCAAUACUGGCAUUUCCACUGAUAACAGCGAUUUUCUCCCGCCAAUAACACGCGUGACAGAAGUAAUCAGUCAAAGAGGAAACGAGGUUUCGGUCUGACAGCUGCAGACUCCCACAAACACUUCCCGGGGUCAAAGGUCACACGGAGCAAAGUAAGAGUGAAAAACUGAAGCGUAGCCACAUCAUUGUUCUACCUCUCCUGCUUCAGCAAAGCUGCGUGCUGAGGGACAGGAUCAGGACGCAGGGAUCACUGGGAAUAAAUCUGCUUUCUUUAACCACUUACACAACACUGCAGUCCGAUCUACAACAAACGAUUACAAGAUACUCUAGAUGGAUUCCACACACUUCAGCACUGGUCACUUCAUAGACACCCAUCAGUGAAUAUUUGUGAGGUGAGCAUAAGCACACAACGCUCAAACACUUCCAAACACCAAAACACACGUCUGCUAGAGACUCCCACAAGACUGAUGAAGCGGAGGAACACAGCAUGAUUUCAAGAUGAGAACUAAUCUCAAAUAUCAAACUGAGACAUUAAAGGGUUAAACAAAAUUGAUUGUCAACAAGAAAUUAUAGUCGCAAACCACUGUUCCACCAUAAUGCUUUAUUUACCAAUGAAACUGAAUAUUCAAUGAGAACAAAAAUUAGCAUGAUUGGAUCAGGAAAUUUGAUCA